GCUUUUGUAAGAGCUGGCCCCUUACAUAUGGAAAUGACGCUCAUGCGGGUCCCCAUUCGCGUCCUUUUGAAGGACGCCCGCCCGGAACCGCUGCGCCGGCUGCGAAGUAUUGUCCCGUUUCUCCAGCCCUAACAAAGCGUCCUCCUUCGCUUUGCAGAGAGCUGGAGGCGGGCGGCCGGCUGUGCGGGCGCUCCGGAGAAACCGACAGAAGGUGAGCGCUGUGGGCUAUGGGAUGGAUGAGGUGGAGCAGGACCAGCAUGAGGCCCGACUCAAGGAGCUGUUUGACAGUUUUGACACGACGGGCACAGGGUCCCUGGGGCAGGAGGAACUCACCGACCUUUGCCACAUGUUGAGCUUGGAGGAGGUGGCCCCAGUGCUGCAGCAGACGUUACUUCAGGACAACCUCUUGGGCAGGGUACAUUUUGACCAAUUUAAAGAAGCAUUAAUACUCAUCUUGUCCAGAACUCUAUCAAAUGAAGAACACUUUCAAGAACCAGGUAAGGUCACUCACUUUUCUUCUCUGCAUUCCCCUUUAAAAGUUGUCCGGGGAAGAAUCUGGGGACCUUGAAGCAUGUAUAUGAAGGACUGGGGACAUCUGCCUUUCACAGAUUGAGCAGUUAUUUUCGGUGACUUCUCUUCAAUAUUAUCAUAAAAGCUUUGCAGCUGUUGAACACUAAAAUGAGACUUCUCUACUACAGAAGCAUAGUAUUAUGGAGAAAAUAAUUGGAUUGUUUCUAGGCAAUAUGUCAGAUGGUGUGGCAAUAACUCAUUCUUGGAAUGAGUAGAGUGAAGCUGAAUGGUAACUGUUUUCAUCCUUGUUUCCUUGUACAUGGAAGGAUAUGAUUUGGGGAAAUUUUUCCUGAAGGUAGAAGAGUGACCAGUUUAGAGAUAAUUUUACUUAGUCGUAGUGAGUGGAUAAUGCUCUGCUAUAGACAUUAUCACAUUACAUUAUAAUUAUCUGUCUCCUCCUCUCAAGUGAUAAUUCCUUGAGGACCAUGCUGUUCAUUUUUGUAUUUCCAGUGCCUAGAAGAAUGCUUAGCAUGUAGUAAGUAUUCAAUGAAUGUUUCAAAAUAAAAGACUUAAUAUUAUACUUCACUGAUUUUUUUCUAAGCACCAUAGGUUGUAAGACACAUUGUUAUUUCAUGUAUCUUUAAAAAGAAAAAUUGUUGCCAAUUGUAAUGUAAAAUGACAUUAAUUGUAAAUUCUCAUUUCAGAGUGUCCAAAUCUGGUGUGUUGGGGGGAGGUGUCUUCAAAUCAAUGAAAUAUGGUAGAUGUGUAAAGAAAAGUCUAAACACUGUGGAAAUUUAUAUCACAGUACAGUCUGGUUUUAUCAA
RNAcentral lists this small RNA (1334 nucleotides) under Pongo abelii (Sumatran orangutan). Its description in RNAcentral is "retained intron". The record is from RNAcentral. Lineage: Eukaryota; Metazoa; Chordata; Mammalia; Primates; Hominidae.